CCUACGGGUGGCUGCAGUAGGGAAUAUUGGGCAAUGGGCGGAAGCCUGACCCAGCCAUGCCGCGUGAGGGAUGAAGGUUCAUAGAAUCGUAAACCUCUUUUAAUUGGGACUAAGGGGCUUGUAACUCAAGUUUUUGAAGGUACCAAAGGAAUAAGGACCGGCUAACUACGUGCCAGCAGCCGCGGUAAUACGUAGGGUCCAAGCGUUGUCCGGAUUUACUGGGUUUAAAGGGUGCGUAGGCGGUUUGAUAAGUCGGUGAUGAAAUGACGGGGCUU
RNAcentral lists this ribosomal RNA (275 nucleotides) under uncultured bacterium. Its description in RNAcentral is "partial 16S ribosomal RNA". It matches the Rfam family "Bacterial small subunit ribosomal RNA", at positions 338 to 610 of the family's 1533-position model. The record is from RNAcentral.